Molecule: ribosomal RNA, 465 nt
Filed under: uncultured bacterium
Lineage: Bacteria
Description: partial 16S ribosomal RNA
Rfam family: Bacterial small subunit ribosomal RNA
Source: RNAcentral
GACGAACGCUGGCGGCGUGCUUAACACAUGCAAGUCGAACGGAAAGGCCCCCUUGUGGGGUACUCGAGUGGCGAACGGGUGAGUAACACGUGAGUAACCUACCCUUGACUUUGGGAUAACUUCAGGAAACUGGGGCUAAUACCGGAUAGGAGCUCCUGCUGCAUGGUGGGGGUUGGAAAGUUUCGGCGGCUGGGGAUGGACUCGCGGCUUAUCAGCUUGUUGGUGGGGUAGUGGCUCACCAAGGCUUUGACGGGUAGCCGGCCUGAGAGGGUGACCGGCCACAUGGGGACUGAGAUACGGCCCAGACUCCUACGGGAGGCAGCAGUGGGGAAUAUUGCACAAUGGGCGGAAGCCUGAUGCAGCAACGCCGCGUGCGGGAUGACGGCCUUCGGGUUGUAAACCGCUUUCGCCUGUGACGAAGCGUGAGUGACGGUAAUGGGUAAAGAAGCACCGGCUAACUACGUG